GUCGAGAAUCUUUCACAAUGGGGGCAACCCUGAUGGAGCGACGCCGCGUGGAGGAUAAGGUCUUCGGAUUGUAAACUCCUGUCAUGCGUGAACAAGGUUGCUUGGUUAAUACCUGGGCAAAUUGAUGGUAACGCAAGAGGAAGAGACGGCUAACUCUGUGCCAGCAGCCGCGGUAAUACAGAGGUCUCAAGCGUUGUUCGGAAUCACUGGGCGUAAAGGGUGCGUAGGUGGCGUGGUAAGUCAGAUGUGAAAUCCCGGGGCUCAACCUCGGAACUGCAUCCGAUACUGCCAUGCUAGAGUACUGGAGAGGUGACUAGAAUUCUCGGUGUAGCAGUGAAAUGCGUAGAUAUCGAGAGGAAUACCAAAGGCGUAGGCAGGUCACUGGACAGUUACUGACACUGAGGCACGAAGGCCAGGGGAGCGAACGGGAUUAGAUACCCGUGUAGUCC
Molecule: ribosomal RNA, 449 nt
Filed under: uncultured bacterium
Lineage: Bacteria
Description: partial 16S ribosomal RNA
Rfam family: Bacterial small subunit ribosomal RNA
Source: RNAcentral